RNAcentral lists this transfer RNA (73 nucleotides) under Cimex lectularius (bed bug). RNAcentral describes it as "tRNA-Val". It matches the Rfam family "tRNA". Rfam says of the family: Transfer RNA (tRNA) molecules are approximately 80 nucleotides in length. Their secondary structure includes four short double-helical elements and three loops (D, anti-codon, and T loops). Lineage: Eukaryota; Metazoa; Arthropoda; Insecta; Hemiptera; Cimicidae. The record is from Rfam by way of RNAcentral.
GUUUCCGUUGUGUAGCGGUUAUCAUAUCUGCCUGACACGCAGAAAAUCCCCAGUUUGAUCCUGGGCGGAAACA